GCCAGCAUGGUGUAGUGGUUUCCGCGUUGGACUGUGACUCUGGAGACCAGGGUUUGAUUCCCCACUCAGCCA
Molecule: transfer RNA, 72 nt
Filed under: Phrynosoma platyrhinos (Desert horned lizard)
Lineage: Eukaryota; Metazoa; Chordata; Lepidosauria; Squamata; Phrynosomatidae
Description: tRNA-OTHER
Source: RNAcentral